UCCCUGGUGGUCCAGUGUUUAGGACUCCGCACUCUCACGGCUAAGGGUCUAGGUUCCAUUCCUGGUCAGGGAA
RNAcentral lists this transfer RNA (73 nucleotides) under Bos taurus (domestic cattle). It matches the Rfam family "tRNA". Rfam says of the family: Transfer RNA (tRNA) molecules are approximately 80 nucleotides in length. The record is from Rfam by way of RNAcentral. Lineage: Eukaryota; Metazoa; Chordata; Mammalia; Artiodactyla; Bovidae. RNAcentral also lists the same sequence under 4 other names.